GCUUCCAUUAAUUUCCAAAGUGCCGUGAAAUUAGAGAGAAAUGGAAAGUAAAGUACUGUGGCAUGGAUAAAAUUAAUGCGGCUGCUCCUAAGAUUUGCAGCAAACAUUUCAUGGCAGGUGACUACAAAAGGAAUUUGCAGUAUGAACUUCUCGGUAAAUGACUAGUUCGACGUUCUAAAUUUAAGAGUUCCAAGCGCUGAUUGCAGAGAUAGGGUGAAAGCGUUCGGGCAAGCGAAUCAAGUCCACAGUAAAAUCAUGACGGACAUGAACCGAACAACGCAAGACAUUUAUCUUGCAAACGAACAAAGCACAUGUCGAGCUGUUCAAAUAUUUGCAGCAGAAAUACGACACGAAGUAUACCCUUACCUACCGGUUAAAUCAGGAUUUUUGGGAAAACUUCUUUUCGGUUAUAAGAAGUACAGACGGUCUUAACGAUCAUCCUGAUCAGUUGCAACUUAAAUGCAGACUGCAACGUUAUGUUUUGGACCGCAGCGAAGGAGCUAUAUCCAAUUCGACAUCGACGAUAUUCCUGACUUGGAUCUUGUAGGUUCCGGUGACGUCGUCCUCCUCUUGGACAGAGCCUCUACCACUGGAGGAAAGUCUGAGUAUGAUGGACUCGAUAACUUGGCGGGCUUCAUUUGCCAUAAAAUGAAGAUCUUACAUUCAGAGAUUUCAGUGGGGGAAGCAACUAUAUCACCACAUUUCUUCAU
This is a long non-coding RNA of Hermetia illucens (black soldier fly), 710 nucleotides long. RefSeq lists it as uncharacterized. The record is from RefSeq and is a predicted model, not a curated record. NCBI's taxonomy places the organism in Eukaryota, Metazoa, Arthropoda, Insecta, Diptera, Stratiomyidae. The transcript is spliced from 4 exons.